UUGCAUCGGCUGCUCGAGGCGGCCACUAGAGACGGCAUCCUACAACCCAUCCCCGGGAGGGCCGCUCGCAUGCGCACCAGCUUGUACGCGGACGAUGCAGUAAUCUUCGUCAACCCAGUGCGACAAGAAAUAGACGAUCUCUUCCACAUCCUGCACUGCUUCGGCGAGGCCACUGACCUAAAGGUGAACCAAGCAAAAUCCUCGGUCGUCCCGAUCGCCUGCGACGGAAUCGACCUCGUUGACGUGCUACAAAGUUUCGGUGGAACCAUGGCGGCGCUGCCCAUCACAUACUUAGGCAUCCCGAUCACCACCGGCAAGCUUAGACUAGUGCACCUGCAGUUGAUCUUAGAUAGGAUUCGAGCACGGUUAGCGGGCUGGAAGGGCAGGCUGCUACCAAUCACGGGCCGGCGCGUGCUGGUAAGGUGUGUGCUCGCCAUGCCCACCUUCGCCCUCACCGUCCUUUGGGCUCCGAAGAAGUUCUUCAAAGACAUCGACAAGGCCAGGAGGCGCUUCCUUUGGGCGCACGACGGCGAGAUCUCUGGCGGAAAAUGCAAGGUAGGCUGGAAGAUGGUCACUAGACUAGAGCGCACUGGUGGCCUGGGCAUACAUGACCUAUCUGCGUUCGCCCAUGCACUGCGGCUGCGUUGGCUGUGGCUCGCCUGGACGCAGCCAAACCGGCCCUGGGUCGGCUCGGGCGUUCCCUCCAACGACGACGAUGAAGCUUUGUUUGUGGCCUGCACGGUGGUCACCAUCAACGACGGAGCCACGACAUCGUUCUGGUCGUCCAACUGGCACGACGGCAGGCCCCUGCGCGCAGCUUACCCGGAGGUCUUCGCUCAAUCCAUCCAGAAAUGCAGGACCGUGCGGGACGCUCUGCACCAGGACCGUUGGGUUCUCGACCUUCGCCACGGCAACUUCUCCAGCAUCAUCCACCAGGUGCUUCAACUGGCCAGGCAGCUGCGAGACGCCGCAAUCACCCUGGUUGAGGGCACGGCGGACACGAUCAGAUGGACAGCAUGCAGCUCUGGCUUGUACUCUGCGCGAUCAGCAUACGAUGUGCAAUUCGAAGACACUCCCCUGCUCAACUUCAAGAACUCGAUCUGGAAAGCAUGGGGGCCGGGCAAAAUGAAAAUGCUCCUCUGGCUGCUGCAAUUGGACCGGCUCUGGUGCUGCGACAGACUCCAGCAGCGUGGCUGGGAAAACAACUACUUCUGUCAGCUCUGCGUGCGACAGCUUGAGACAUCCUCCCACAUCUUCUGGGAAUGUCCGAUCUCCAUUCAUGUAUGGAACAAGGUUGCAACAUGGGCAGGCUGCAGGACAAAAUAA
Molecule: ribosomal RNA, 1326 nt
Filed under: Triticum aestivum (bread wheat)
Lineage: Eukaryota; Viridiplantae; Streptophyta; Magnoliopsida; Poales; Poaceae
Description: partial small subunit ribosomal RNA
Source: RNAcentral